AGAGUUUGAUCCUGGCUCAGGAUGAACGCUGGCGGCGUGCCUAAUACAUGCAAGUCGAACGAGGAGUAGCAAUACUCCUAGUGGCGAACGGGUGAGUAACGCGUUGGUGACCUGCCUCGAAGUGAGGGAUAACAGGCCGAAAGGCUUGCUAAUACCGCAUGGUCAACCGGGAGACUAGAAGCCUGGUUGUAAAGGAGAAAUCCGCUUUGAGAGGGGCCUGCGUCCCAUCAGCUAGUUGGUAAGGUAACGGCUUACCAAGGCGAUGACGGGUAGGGGACCUGAGAGGGUGAUCCCCCACAAUGGAACUGAAACACGGUCCAUACACCUACGGGUGGCAGCAGUAGGGAAUAUUGCUUAAUGGGCGCAAGCCUGAAGCAGCAACGCCGCGUGUGCGAUGAAGGCCUUCGGGUUGUAAAGCACUUUUUGCUGGGAAGAGGAAGGACGGUACCAGCAGAAUAAGCCUCGGCUAACUACGUGCCAGCAGCCGCGGUAAAACGUAGGAGGCGAGCGUUAUCCGGAUUUACUGGGUGUAAAGCGCGUGCAGGCGGUUUACUAAGUUGGAUGUGAAAGCUCCUGGCUCAACUGGGAGAGGUCGUUCAAAACUGGUAGACUCGAGAGCAGUAGGGGAAGGUGGAAUUCCGGGUGUAGUGGUGAAAUGCGUAGAUAUCCGGAGGAACACCAGUGGCGAAGGCGGCCUUCUGGACUGCAUCUGACGCUCAGACGCGAAAGCUAGGGUAGCAAACGGGAUUAGAGACCCCGGUAGUCCUAGCCGUAAACGAUGUGAACUUGGCGCCGGGCGGGUAAAACCGAUCGGUGCCGAAGCAAACGCGAUAAGUUCACCACCUGGGGACUACGGCCGCAAGGUUAAAACUCAAAUGAAUUGACGG
RNAcentral lists this ribosomal RNA (887 nucleotides) under uncultured bacterium. Its description in RNAcentral is "bacterial SSU rRNA". It matches the Rfam family "Bacterial small subunit ribosomal RNA", at positions 8 to 916 of the family's 1533-position model. The record is from RNAcentral.